RNAcentral lists this ribosomal RNA (780 nucleotides) under uncultured bacterium. Its description in RNAcentral is "bacterial SSU rRNA". It matches the Rfam family "Bacterial small subunit ribosomal RNA", at positions 28 to 805 of the family's 1533-position model. The record is from RNAcentral.
GAUGAACGCUGGCGGCGUGCUUAACACAUGCAAGUCGAACGAAGCACUCUAUUUGAUUUUCUUCGGAAAUGAAGAUUUUGUGACUGAGUGGCGGACGGGUGAGUAACGCGUGGGUAACCUGCCUCAUACAGGGGGAUAACAGUUGGAAACGACUGCUAAUACCGCAUAAGCGCACAGGAUCGCAUGAUCCGGUGUGAAAAACUCCGGUGGUAUGAGAUGGACCCGCGUCUGAUUAGCCAGUUGGCAGGGUAACGGCCUACCAAAGCGACGAUCAGUAGCCGACCUGAGAGGGUGACCGGCCACAUUGGGACUGAGACACGGCCCAAACUCCUACGGGAGGCAGCAGUGGGGAAUAUUGCACAAUGGGGGAAACCCUGAUGCAGCGACGCCGCGUGAGCGAAGAAGUAUUUCGGUAUGUAAAGCUCUAUCAGCAGGGAAGAAGAAUGACGGUACCUGACUAAGAAGCACCGGCUAAAUACGUGCCAGCAGCCGCGGUAAUACGUAUGGUGCAAGCGUUAUCCGGAUUUACUGGGUGUAAAGGGAGCGCAGGCGGUGCGGCAAGUCUGAUGUGAAAGCCCGGGGCUCAACCCCGGUACUGCAUUGGAAACUGUCGUACUAGAGUGUCGGAGGGGUAAGUGGAAUUCCUAGUGUAGCGGUGAAAUGCGUAGAUAUUAGGAGGAACACCAGUGGCGAAGGCGGCUUACUGGACGAUAACUGACGCUGAGGCUCGAAAGCGUGGGGAGCAAACAGGAUUACAUACCCUGGUAGUCCACGCCGUAA